CUUUGGACAAAUAACUGGGAGGACACAUUUUGACCAGCACAAUUCUCAGCCCUGAGAAGGACCCUCACACAGAGGAGUAACAGUAAGGAUGAAAUCACUGUGCCUACUCUUGGGCCUCUUGGCCCUUCAAGCCUGUUUCUCGCCUGGUGAGAGUCACAGACACCACAGGAGACCACGUCCACCACCACUGCGUCUUCCUGUACCUCCAGAACCUACUAGUUUUGGCC
Artibeus jamaicensis (Jamaican fruit-eating bat) is the source of this 227-nucleotide long non-coding RNA. RefSeq lists it as uncharacterized. NCBI's taxonomy places the organism in Eukaryota, Metazoa, Chordata, Mammalia, Chiroptera, Phyllostomidae. The record is from RefSeq and is a predicted model, not a curated record. The transcript is spliced from 3 exons.